GCCCUCUGCGGGUUCCCGCCGCCGCCUCCGACCUUGUUCUUCGUGAUGGCGAUGGCGAGGUCGUUGGGGAAGAGAGUACGCCAGACGAAGGCGUGCAGGAGUGUGGAGACGAAGAGGAUGAACACCAUGGCGGAGGACAUGAGGGACAGGGCCAGCGCCAUCCCCUUGGUUAUGACGCCGGGCACCGCCUCGGCGUACUUGAUGGUGGCCAGCGACGCCGUCGUCAUUGGGAAGGUGUACGACCACCACGCCACCGAGAACCUGCGCCACCGGCGAGGAAGUAAGCGCUAAACACGACCGCCCGAUUGCAGCAGGUUGGCUCGAUAACAUGAGGCUCUCUUUAUGUUCAUCAGGCAGGAAAUGGGUCUUCACCUGAAGCCGCGGAAGAAGUUGAUGCGGACGACGAGGGAGAUGUAGAGGAAGAGGGCGAUGAAGUAGCAGGUGCGGGAGACCUCGUCGAACUGGCCGUAGAUGUUCCCCCAGGCGAUGCUGGCGGCGGAGGGGGCGGCGAUGAACAUGGAGUACACCGGGUGGAGCUCCUUGGGGAGGGCCUCGCUGGUGGGCAGCCGCUGGUACAGCGUGACGAAGACGACGAGGUAGUGGGCGAAGCCCACCGCCCAGAGGAACUUGGCCGGCUCCCACCACCCCACCCGCCCGGCGAGGAUGGCUCCUACAAAGUUCCCCACCACGGAGAGGUGCGACGACGGGUUGGCCACCUUGCAGAGCCGCCGCUUCCCCCCGGAGAGCCACUGCCCGUAGAUCUUCAGCUCCAGGAACAGCACCGGCCCCAUGAAGGCGCACCAGAGCGAGGGGUGCAGCAGCUGCUGCCGGCGGGCCAGCGCCGGGGGCGCGCCGAUGGCCAGGAACAUGCAGACGAUCCAGGGGGCGAAGAAGAAGUUGACCCGCACGGGGUGGAAGUACUCUCUUCGGACGGCCUCGAAGUAGAAGGCGCACUU
RNAcentral lists this long non-coding RNA (956 nucleotides) under Spirodela polyrhiza (greater duckweed). RNAcentral describes it as "long non-coding RNA (SPOL_LNC001020)". Lineage: Eukaryota; Viridiplantae; Streptophyta; Magnoliopsida; Alismatales; Araceae. The record is from RNAcentral.